Long non-coding RNA from Protopterus annectens (West African lungfish), 125 nucleotides. RefSeq lists it as uncharacterized. The transcript has 3 exons. Lineage: Eukaryota; Metazoa; Chordata; Ceratodontiformes; Protopteridae. The record is from RefSeq and is a predicted model, not a curated record.
UGCAGUACUGCUUAUACAGUCAGUGUAAAACUGAGAAAGUACCCCUCCCCCUGUAGUACUGCAGCACUGUUUACCUGAUUUAUGCUGUGAGAAUAAAAUGUAUGUCACCCCAACACUAUGGUUAU